UACGUAGGGUGCAAGCGUUGUCCGGAAUUAUUGGGCGUAAAGAGCUCGUAGGCGGUUUGUCGCGUCGGUUGUGAAAGCCCGGGGCUCAACUCCGGGUCUGCAUUCGAUACGGGCAAACUAGAGUUCGGUAGGGGAGACUGGAAUUCCUGGUGUAGCGGUGAAAUGCGCAGAUAUCAGGAGGAACACCGAUGGCGAAGGCAGGUCUCUGGGCAUUAACUGACGCUGAGGAGCGAAAGCAUGGGGAGCGAACAGG
RNAcentral lists this ribosomal RNA (253 nucleotides) under uncultured bacterium. Its description in RNAcentral is "partial 16S ribosomal RNA". It matches the Rfam family "Bacterial small subunit ribosomal RNA", at positions 524 to 776 of the family's 1533-position model. The record is from RNAcentral.